AAACCAACCGGGAUUGCCUCAGUAACGGCGAGUGAAGCGGCAAAAGCUCAAAUUUGAAAUCUCCGUAAGGCGAGUUGUAAUUUGAAGAGGGUACUUUGGGGCGGCGCCUUGUCUAUGUUCCUUGGAACAGGACGUCACAGAGGGUGAGAAUCCCGUGCGAUGAGGAGAGCCGUUCUAUGUAAAGUUCCUUCGACGAGUCGAGUUGUUUGGGAAUGCAGCUCUAAGUGGGUGGUAAAUUCCAUCUAAAGCUAAAUAUUGGCGAGAGACCGAUAGCGAACAAGUACAGUGAUGGAAAGAUGAAAAGCACUUUGAAAAGAGAGUGAAAAAGUACGUGAAAUUGUUGAAAGGGAAGGGCUUGAGAUCAGACUUGGUGACUCGUCACUGGGCCAGCAUCGGGUUCGGGCGGCAGGAGAAUGCCGCGGGAAAGUGGCUCUUCUUCGGGAGAGUGUUAUAGCCUAGGGUACUAGUCGCCACGCGGGACCGAGGACUGCGAUUCUAGGAUGCUGGCAU
Molecule: ribosomal RNA, 510 nt
Filed under: uncultured Candida
Lineage: Eukaryota; Fungi; Ascomycota; Saccharomycetes; Saccharomycetales
Description: eukaryotic LSU rRNA
Rfam family: Eukaryotic large subunit ribosomal RNA
Source: RNAcentral